Molecule: ribosomal RNA, 450 nt
Filed under: uncultured bacterium
Lineage: Bacteria
Description: partial 16S ribosomal RNA
Rfam family: Bacterial small subunit ribosomal RNA
Source: RNAcentral
GUGGGGAAUAUUGGACAAUGGGCGAAAGCCUGAUCCAGCCAUGCCGCGUGUGUGAAGAAGGUCUUCGGAUUGUAAAGCACUUUAAGUUGGGAGGAAGGGCAGUAAGUUAAUACCUUGCUGUUUUGACGUUACCGACAGAAUAAGCACCGGCUAACUUCGUGCCAGCAGCCGCGUUAAUACGAAGGGUGCAAGCGUUAAUCGGAAUUACUGGGCGUAAAGCGCGCGUAGGUGGUUUUGUAAGUUGGAGGUGAAAUCCCCGGGCUCAACCUGGGAACUGCCUCCAAAACUGCAUGACUAGAGUACGGUAGAGGGUAGUGGAAUUUCCUGUGUAGCGGUGAAAUGCGUAGAUAUAGGAAGGAACACCAGUGGCGAAGGCGACUACCUGGACUGAUACUGACACUGAGGUGCGAAAGCGUGGGGAGCAAACAGGAUUAGAUACCCCAGUAGUCC